This 928-nucleotide ribosomal RNA is filed under the name uncultured fungus. RNAcentral describes it as "eukaryotic LSU rRNA". The stretch from base 575 to 725 matches the Rfam family "5.8S ribosomal RNA". The record is from RNAcentral. Lineage: Eukaryota; Fungi.
UUCGCCCAUUUUGUCAUUAGAGGAAGUAAAAGUCGUAACAAGGUUUCCCUCCGCAGCUGAGCCUCGGGACCUUGCACCCCUCUGGGGGGGCAGCGCGACUAUAAAUAAGGCUGGCCCUUGCAAGUUGACCGUGAGGUCAGCGACAUAAUCGAAUUGACGGGGACUCUUAAAGCCUGCAGCACCACCUAGACGGGGAAACCCGUUUAGUACGGUAGAGCCUGUAGGAUACACAAUGGAUAAUCCGCAGCCGAGCCCCUACUGCGAAGCCACGGGGAAGGUUCACAGACUAGGUGAUUAUGGGUCCAGCCGCUUUUGGAUCUAAGAUAUAGUCGGUCUCUGGGGGAAAUCCCAGGGGUUUCAGGUCCGUAGGUGAACCUGCGGAAGGAUCAUUAAUGUAACCGGACCGGUCCUUGCCGUAAAACGCACCGGAUUGGAAAGGGAGAUAUCAUACACCCUGUGUUAUUUACCUUUGUUGCUUUGGCGGGCCGUCCUUUAGGCGUCGGCCCCGCUGAUCGCGCCCGCCAGAGGACCCAAACUCUUUUAUCAGUGAUGUCUGAUACUAUAUAAUAGUUAAAACUUUCAACAACGGAUCUCUUGGUUCUGGCACGAUGAAGAACGCAGCGAAAUGCGAUAAGUAAUGUGAAUUGCAGAAUUCGUGAAUCAUCGAAUCUUUGAACGCACAUUGCGCCCGCUGGUAUUCCGGCGGCAUGCCUGUUCGAGCGUCAUUAUGACCAAUCAAGCUCUGCUUGGCCUGGGGCCCGCUGUACCGGCGGCCCUUAAAAUUAGUGGCGGUGCCGUCUGGUCUAAGCGUAGUAAUACUUCUCGCUAUAGGGUCCAGUCGUUUACCCGCCGAACCCCCAACUUUCUUAGGUUGACCUCGGAUCAGGUAGGGAUACCCGCGAACUUAAGCAUAUCAAUAAGCGGAGGA